This 73-nucleotide transfer RNA is filed under the name Desulfobacterales bacterium. RNAcentral's name for it is "tRNA-Thr". It matches the Rfam family "tRNA". From Rfam's summary of the family: Transfer RNA (tRNA) molecules are approximately 80 nucleotides in length. Their secondary structure includes four short double-helical elements and three loops (D, anti-codon, and T loops). Further hydrogen bonds mediate the characteristic L-shaped molecular structure. tRNAs have two regions of fundamental functional importance: the anti-codon, which is responsible for specific mRNA codon recognition, and the 3' end, to which the tRNAs corresponding amino acid is attached (by aminoacyl-tRNA synthetases). tRNAs cope with the degeneracy of the genetic code in two manners: having more than one tRNA (with a specific anti-codon) for a particular amino acid; and 'wobble' base-pairing, i.e. permitting non-standard base-pairing at the 3rd anti-codon position. Lineage: Bacteria; Pseudomonadati; Thermodesulfobacteriota; Desulfobacteria; Desulfobacterales. The record is from RNAcentral.
GCCGGCGUAGCUCAAUUGGCAGAGCAGCUGAUUCGUAAUCAGCAGGCUACCAGUUCAAUUCUGGUCGUCGGCU